AUGAACGCUGGCGGCGUGCCUAAUACAUGCAAGUCGAGCGAACAGACGAGGAGCUUGCUCCUCUGACGUUAGCGGCGGACGGGUGAGUAACACGUGGAUAACCUACCUAUAAGACUGGGAUAACUUCGGGAAACCGGAGCUAAUACCGGAUAAUAUAUUGAACCGCAUGGUUCAAUAGUGAAAGACGGUUUUGCUGUCACUUAUAGAUGGAUCCGCGCCGCAUUAGCUAGUUGGUAAGGUAACGGCUUACCAAGGCAACGAUGCGUAGCCGACCUGAGAGGGUGAUCGGCCACACUGGAACUGAGACACGGUCCAGACUCCUACGGGAGGCAGCAGUAGGGAAUCUUCCGCAAUGGGCGAAAGCCUGACGGAGCAACGCCGCGUGAGUGAUGAAGGUCUUCGGAUCGUAAAACUCUGUUAUUAGGGAAGAACAAAUGUGUAGUAACUAUGCACGUCUUGACGGUACCUAAUCAGAAAGCCACGGCUAACUACGUG
This 495-nucleotide ribosomal RNA is filed under the name uncultured bacterium. RNAcentral's name for it is "partial 16S ribosomal RNA". It matches the Rfam family "Bacterial small subunit ribosomal RNA", at positions 29 to 507 of the family's 1533-position model. The record is from RNAcentral.